Molecule: long non-coding RNA, 613 nt
Organism: Oreochromis aureus
Lineage: Eukaryota; Metazoa; Chordata; Actinopteri; Cichliformes; Cichlidae
Source: Ensembl
AGGAGCAGCAAAAGUGUUAAUGUGUUGCCAUGAAGCGGUGUCGCUGUCUGGACAUACGGCGUGGUGAGCCUGUCAUGCCCUGACACAGGCGAGCAGCUAAACUUAAAGUGUGGAGUGAGAGGAAUGCCAAGGUCCAGUAAGCCCCUCGGGGCAAUUAGGAAGGGAAGAGGAGAUUCUACUGGGGAACAAGUGUGUGUUUUCAUGUGUGUGUGAGACAGAAAUAGAGUUGAGAGACUCAGUUGGAGUUCAUGAGCUCGUUUUCAGCCAGAGAAGUAACCAGUGAGCAAAGGAGUUCAUGUGCAGUCAAGAGAACGAGAAGGGAUCAAGCUUGGAGCGUCAAACAGGUUAUGCCCUGUUUUGUGAUUAACCCUGGCAGCCAUACACUACAGCUGGAAGCGCAACACAACAUCCAGCACCGUGAAGCUCCAAGGCUGUAGACAUGACAAGGACAGAGCAGGUUGGAGUUGAAUCAGAGGAAGACGGAGCACUUCUAAUCUUAUCGGGAUCGUUUUGGAGACUUGCACAAAACUCAAGGACGUUAAAGAUUUUUCCAGAGAGAGAUUCAAGCGAGUAAAUGUCAUAUGGUGUUAUCUGAGAAAAUCAUGGUAUAAAU